CUCCCUGUAGCUCAGCAGGAUAGAGCGACAGAUUCCUAAUCUGUAGGCCGUGGGUUCGAAUCCCGCCGGGGAGGCCA
Molecule: transfer RNA, 77 nt
Filed under: Alphaproteobacteria bacterium
Lineage: Bacteria; Pseudomonadati; Pseudomonadota; Alphaproteobacteria
Description: tRNA-Arg
Rfam family: tRNA
About the family: Transfer RNA (tRNA) molecules are approximately 80 nucleotides in length. Their secondary structure includes four short double-helical elements and three loops (D, anti-codon, and T loops).
Source: RNAcentral